This 336-nucleotide ribosomal RNA is filed under the name uncultured eukaryote. RNAcentral's name for it is "partial 18S ribosomal RNA". It matches the Rfam family "Eukaryotic small subunit ribosomal RNA", at positions 1470 to 1796 of the family's 1831-position model. The record is from RNAcentral.
CCCUUAGAUGUUCUGGGCCGCACGCGCGCUACACUGAAUGGAUCAACGUGUUUUCCCUUCCCGAGAGGGACGGGUAACCCGCUGAACCCCAUUCGUGGUAGGGAUCGGAGCUUGCAAUUGUUCUCCGUGAACCAGGAAUUCCCAGUAAGCGCAAGUCAUAAGCUUGCGUUGAUUACGUCCCUGCCCUUUGUACACACCGCCCGUCGCUACUACCGAUUGAACGUUUUAGUGAGGUAUUUGGACUGGACCUUCGGAGGUUCGCGCCUCCGUUGCUGUUCGGGAAGACUCCCAAACUUGAUUAAACCAUAUCAUUUAGAGGAAGGUGAAGUCGUAACA